Molecule: ribosomal RNA, 627 nt
Filed under: Tsengiella spinulosa
Lineage: Eukaryota; Rhodophyta; Florideophyceae; Ceramiales; Delesseriaceae
Description: eukaryotic LSU rRNA
Rfam family: Eukaryotic large subunit ribosomal RNA
Source: RNAcentral
AAGGAGUGUGUAACAACUCACCUGCCGAAUGAAUUAGCCCUGAAAAUGGAUGACGCUAAAGCGGGCAGCCGACACCACACCGUUUGGGCAAAAUGGACGUCUAAAUGAGUAGGAGGAACGUGGCGGUCGUGUCGAAGCGUGCGUGCAAACGUGCGUGGAACGGCCGCUAGUGCAGAUCUUGGUGUUAGUAGCAAAUAUUCAAAUGAGAACCUUGAAGGGCGAAGCGGGGAAGGGUUCCACGCGAACAUUGAUUGAGCGUGGGUAAGUCGUUCCUAAGCCGCGUGGCAAUAGCUAAUUACCGGCGAAAGGGAAGCAGGUUGAUAUUCCUGCACACGGAUGUGGAAGCGGUGACGCAUACUUGGGACGGUGAAGCUGGCGAUGGCUCUGGGCAGAGUUUUCUUUUCUGUUUAACUAACUAUGCUCGCAGUGUGGAAUCCGCUUGUCGGGAGAAACACGCGGGUCUGGGAAUAGCGCCGGGUUUUUUUCCGGCGUCCAGAACGCCAUCGUCGGACCUUGAAAAACUGUCUGCAGGCGAUUUUAAAUUGUCUUAUGUAAUCCACGCCGUGACGUACCGAUAACCGCAUCAGGUCCCCAAGGUGAACAGCCUCUGCUCGAUAUGAAAAAUGC